UCCAAUUAAAGCAACAAUGGUCUCGUUGCUGCCAUAUUGGAUACAUUGGAUCGGUGAUUGACGGGGGGUCUGAAACUCCAGAGAUGUGAGAGGUCAGACCCUUUCCGCCGAUAGCUCUUUCCAUCAGGGUUACCCAUACGUGGUUUAGAAAGGUUGGGAAAGGUAUCUCUGGGAUGGUGGUGAUAUUUUUCUAAAUUCCAAACAAGAACCAACCUGCUCUGAUACCAUCUUAAAGAUGGUAAACGAGAGAGGCGGUAUUGUUCUUGUGAGCCAUUGGAACGCAGAGAUAUUUUGGAGCAGAGAAAAGUAGGAGAAUUGUAUUUUCUGUAUAUUUUUUCAUUGUUUACAGCCCCUCAAUAUAUAGGGAGGAUUUAUCCCUAAUUAUGGAAAACAUAUCAAUCUAUUCUAGGAUACAAAAUUAUUUACGUAA
Long non-coding RNA from Salvia hispanica, 430 nucleotides. RefSeq lists it as uncharacterized. Lineage: Eukaryota; Viridiplantae; Streptophyta; Magnoliopsida; Lamiales; Lamiaceae. The record is from RefSeq and is a predicted model, not a curated record.